CUGCAUGGUUGUCGUCCGCUCGUGCCGUGAGGUGUCGGGUUAAGUCCCAUAACGAGCGCAACCCUAUCAUUAGUUGCCAUCAGGUCAAGCUGGGGACUCUAAUGAAACUGCCUACGCAAGUAGUGAGGAAGGUGGGGAUGACGUCAAGUCAUCAUGGCCCUUACGGCCUGGGCUACACACGUGCUACAAUGGUCGGUACAAAGGGUUGCCAAGCCGCGAGGUGGAGCUAAUCCCAUAAAACCGAUCGUAGUCCGGAUCGCAGUCUGCAACUCGACUGCGUGAAGUCGGAAUCGCUAGUAAUCGUGAAUCAGAAUGUCACGGUGAAUACGUUCCCGGGCCUU
Molecule: ribosomal RNA, 341 nt
Filed under: uncultured Pseudomonas sp.
Lineage: Bacteria; Pseudomonadati; Pseudomonadota; Gammaproteobacteria; Pseudomonadales; Pseudomonadaceae
Description: bacterial SSU rRNA
Rfam family: Bacterial small subunit ribosomal RNA
Source: RNAcentral